GGCCUCCAGAGGAAUUUCUAUACCGCUUCAUGUUCCUCUUCAACUGUCUUGUUCCUUCAUCAAGCAACAUGUUGUUUGACACCACUUCCUGAAAGUUGAACAAUAUUAAUUCUCUAGAAGCUCCUUGGGUUGUUUAGCUGCUUGACUGAACAAAUCAAUAGAAUUGGGGCUACAUUUACAACACUUUCAGGCCAAAGAGUUAAUUAUCACGUAAGUUACUUAAUGGCCAUCCGAACAUAUUCCAGGUUGUAUGAGGGGUCACAACACAAGACACUUUUGUACAACACGGUGACAUACAAAAACAACAACUGAUUGGCUUAUCUGUAUAAUUAGAAGAAUAGAAGCUUUUCAAGAGAUCAUCUCUUCAGAGUAAUUAAGAAUAAAGAUAAAGCAUUAAACAGUUCCCUUAAUUAUCACAAUGUGAUUCUACCUUUUCAAAAUAUUUGUACGCAACUUUGUUUUAACCACUCUUUAAUUCUCCUGAGUUUUAAUGAUGUAAACUACUUCAGGUGGUAAUCCUGCCAAAAAUGUUAGAUCAAUGUUGCAAAGAGAGCCUUGUGCCACACUCACCUAUGAGUAAUGAUUAGAUAAUGUAAGGUAAGGAUCCCAUAAUUCCCCCAAAAAAUAUAUCAAAAUAAUCCAACAAUCUACAAAUGAUUAUGAUAUACUCGUGGAAGAACUUAGAGAUGUUCCCAUAAGAAGCAAGAUCCCACCUUCUGCCAUUGGAUUUUGGAUAAUAGAAUGACAUGUAUUUAUUGAGUCUUCACUGCUGGUACAAGCAAGAAGCACGGGGAGUGGGCAUGGCCGAGCCGCAAAUAGGUUGCAGCCUGCCAGGGGUGGCGUAGGAACAUGCUGAUAACCACAAAUAGCAGUAGCAACAAAUCAGCUCAACUCACCUCACUCUGUAACAGAAAAAUCACACCUACAAUGGAAGCAACAUAAGUACGUUACCAUCAGUCCAACACCAAACCAAUGCGCAUUUAGAUAUGCGGACCAGCUAUUUUGAUGUGUUCACUGGAACAAUGUACAUUUUCGGGUAUAAAGUAAUGGUUGAAAAUAAUGCAGAAUAAUAUUCUGUAGCUUAAUAUACAAAGGACAAUGAAAAGAUCAUUAUGACAGACAUGGGAAAGGUUUCAGAUAGGUUCUAUAUUGGUGCUCAGAAAGCCACUAUCU
RNAcentral lists this long non-coding RNA (1173 nucleotides) under Triticum aestivum (bread wheat). RNAcentral describes it as "long non-coding RNA (TAES_LNC003649)". The record is from RNAcentral. Lineage: Eukaryota; Viridiplantae; Streptophyta; Magnoliopsida; Poales; Poaceae.